This 451-nucleotide ribosomal RNA is filed under the name uncultured bacterium. RNAcentral describes it as "partial 16S ribosomal RNA". It matches the Rfam family "Bacterial small subunit ribosomal RNA", at positions 354 to 796 of the family's 1533-position model. The record is from RNAcentral.
GUGGGGAAUAUUGGACAAUGGGGGGAACCCUGAUCCAGCCAUGCCGCGUGUGUGAAGAAGGCCUUUUGGUUGUAAAGCACUUUAAGCGAGGAGGAGGCUACCGAGAUUAAUACUCUUGGAUAGUGGACGUUACUCGCAGAAUAAGCACCGGCUAACUCUGUGCCAGCAGCCGCGGUAAUACAGAGGGUGCAAGCGUUAAUCGGAUUUACUGGGCGUAAAGCGCGCGUAGGUGGCCAAUUAAGUCAAAUGUGAAAUCACCGAGCUUAACUUGGGAAUUGCAUUCGAUACUGGUUGGCUAGAGUAUGGGAGAGGAUGGUAGAAUUCCAGGUGUAGCGGUGAAAUGCGUAGAGAUCUGGAGGAAUACCGAUGGCGAAGGCAGCCAUCUGGCCUAAUACUGACACUGAGGUGCGAAAGCAUGGGGAGCAAACAGGAUUAGAAACCCUGGUAGUCC